RNAcentral lists this long non-coding RNA (237 nucleotides) under Mytilus galloprovincialis (Mediterranean mussel). The record is from RNAcentral. Lineage: Eukaryota; Metazoa; Mollusca; Bivalvia; Mytilida; Mytilidae.
UACACUGUGUAAAAACUUGGUGUCACACCAGGAAACUCCAGCAACACUCUACAAAUUUUGGGAGGAAAUUGGGAGAAACUUGGAGUAAUUCCUCCCUAAAACUCUUUAAUUGUUUAUUACCUUGGUGUGGUUUCUCCCAACACCAUGAUUUUUAUUGCUAUGUUUACCUUUGAAGUGUGCCACUAGACUAACUAGUUGUUGACUACAAUAAACAUUUCUUAUGUUUCCUGUCAUUAA